CGCGGCCUAUCAGCUUGUUGGUGAGGUAACGGCUCACCAAGGCGAUGACGGGUAGCUGGCGUGAGAGCGUGGCCAGCCACACUGGGACUGAGACACGGCCCAGACUCCUACGGGAGGCAGCAGUGGGGAAUCUUGCGCAAUGGGGGCAACCCUGACGCAGCGACGCCGCGUGCGGGAUGAAGGCCUUCGGGUUGUAAACCGCUUUCAGCAGGGACGAAGCGAAAGUGACGGUACCUGCAGAAGAAGCCCCGGCCAACUACGUGCCAGCAGCCGCGGUAAGACGUAGGGGGCGAGCGUUGUCCGGAUUUAUUGGGCGUAAAGCGCGCGCAGGCGGCCCGGUAAGUCGGAUGUGAAAACCUGCGGCUCAACCGCAGGCUGUCAUUCGAUACUGUCGGGCUUGAGGCAGGUAGGGGAGAGUGGAAUUCCCGGUGUAGCGGUGAAAUGCGCAGAUAUCGGGAGGAACACCGGUGGCGAAGGCGGCUCUCUGGGCCUGUCCUGACGCUCAGGCGCGAAAGCUGGGGGAGCGAACAGGAUUAGAUACCCUGGUAGUCCCAGCCGUAAACGAUGGGUGCUAGGUGUGGGGAGCAUCAACCCUCUCCGUGCCGGAGCUAACGCAUUAAGCACCCCGCCUGGGGAGUACGG
RNAcentral lists this ribosomal RNA (642 nucleotides) under uncultured actinomycete. RNAcentral's name for it is "bacterial SSU rRNA". It matches the Rfam family "Bacterial small subunit ribosomal RNA", at positions 232 to 885 of the family's 1533-position model. The record is from RNAcentral. Lineage: Bacteria; Bacillati; Actinomycetota; Actinomycetes; Actinomycetales.